Molecule: ribosomal RNA, 468 nt
Filed under: uncultured bacterium
Lineage: Bacteria
Description: bacterial SSU rRNA
Rfam family: Bacterial small subunit ribosomal RNA
Source: RNAcentral
UUAACGCUAGCGGCAGGCCUAAUACAUGCAAGUCGUGGGGCAGCAGGGUGUAGCAAUACAUUGCUGGCGACCGGCGCACGGGUGCGUAACACGUAUGCAAUCUACCUCUAACUGGGGAAUAGCCCUCCGAAAGGAGGAUUAAUACCGCAUAAUAUCACGAGACGGCAUCGCCUUGUGAUCAAAGCUUCGGCGGUUAGAGAUGAGCAUGCGUCCGAUUAGCUAGUUGGCGGGGUGACGGCCCACCAAGGCGACGAUCGGUAGGGGGUCUGAGAGGAUGAUCAGCCACACUGGGACUGAGACACGGCCCAGACUCCUACGGGAGGCAGCAGUGGGGAAUCUUGGACAAUGGGCGCAAGCCUGAUCCAGCCAUGCCGCGUGAGUGGAGAAGGUCUUCGGAUUGUAAAGCUCUUUUGCCAGGGACGAUAAUGACGGUACCUGGAGAAUAAGCCCCGGCAAACUUCGUGCCAG